RNAcentral lists this non-coding RNA (164 nucleotides) under Cremastobaeus sp. ZL-2020. The record is from RNAcentral. Lineage: Eukaryota; Metazoa; Arthropoda; Insecta; Hymenoptera; Scelionidae.
AUGCUGAUGACAAUUAAUUGCCGUGUUAUUUGCAUUGUUUCGUGUUUGUGACGGUUCAAAGCAAAUUAACAAAACUAACAAAACUAACAAAAAUACUAGGUGUUGCUUGUCCGUAAGUUCACCUUUAUCAAAAAAAUGGAACGGACUGCUCACGGAUUAUUUUU